GUACCCUCCAGCCCUGCUGGGUGUUGGGCGUUUUGUUCCGCUGCGCGCGUGAACUCGCCUCAAAUGUAUUGGCAGCCCGCCGUCCCGUGUGGGAGCGCAGCACAUUUUGCGCUCUCCGCUGCUGACGGUGGCAUCCACAAGUCUACCAUUUUAC
This 154-nucleotide unclassified non-coding RNA is filed under the name uncultured Pleosporales. RNAcentral describes it as "sequence contains ITS2". Lineage: Eukaryota; Fungi; Ascomycota; Dothideomycetes; Pleosporales. The record is from RNAcentral.